UCGGGUCAUUUUGGGUCCUGGAGGAACAUGGGGGGCAGGUCGUCCCUGAGUGCGACCCGUGGGUGCCCAGCACCCCUGACGGAAAGCGCGUCCCCCGUGUUUGCUCCCGGCUCCUCCCUGCCGCAUUGAUCACACCCCCCCCCCCGGGGGCUUUCCGGGCUCCCCGCUCUGCUCCAUUGAUCUGCAUGUUUUAUUUCUGUAGACUUAUAAUUUGGGGAACGUAUUGUAAACUUUUCUGGGGCCGACACCCCCUCCCCAACCCAGGUCCAGCCGGCAGGCCAAGCCGCAUCCCAGUCUCCCGGGGAUGCAGGUUCUGACCCAAUGGGUCGCAUGGCACCUGGGCCCUGCAUUUUUUCACAGGGUCUGAGAGGCUGCCCUUGUUGGUCGUGGGCCCGCAUCUGAGGGCUGAGGCUCCCUUAGCUGUGGUGCCCGUGAUGUGGCCACUCAGAGCCUGGAAGGGGGAGUUUGACAUCCGGAAACUGCCUGAGGCAACUGUAGACUCUCCCUUGAAUAGAAUCCAGGCUUUCCUGAGUCUUUGAGUGACCAGGAGCCACAAGGCUGCCACACUCUGGCUGCACAUCUCUGGUUUCCUAAAGCGGAUUAUUAUUAACUAACUCAGUGUAGUGCAAGCAGUGACCUUCUCUGCAUCAUCAAAGGACCCACCCGAGAAACCCCGCAGCAGGGACAGCUGGGCACUGUCCCUAACAGGGAUGGAAAGUUCCUUCAUGGGGAAUAAUCUGAGACAUGGAAGGGCCCUUUCCUAAGAUCUUGAGAUCUUUUCUCUACUGAUAUCUGGUGAUAAGAGGAUUCCUCCUAUUUCACGGAUUGAAUAAGACACAAUCACUCAUUCACCUGGGGUUAGACAUUUUGUAGAUAAUCCACUUUACUUUUUAACAUUUAUAAUGUGUUAAACUGAUUUUACUUCCUCUCCCAAAUCCUUUUAUGCUUGCUUCGGAGAAAAGUUGGACUCUUCAGGGAAGGAGGAAGAAAUCAAUGUUUAUUGAGCACCUGCCAGAGAUUACCUGAUCCUGUGCAACAAGUUCAUCACUUAAGUUAUGUGAUCUCCAUUAAUGACGCUAUAGAGAUAUUCCUACUCCGUAGUUGAGAAUCCUAAGGUCUAAAAGAGACCAGGAACUUGUGUAAGAUCAUACAAAUAAGAACAAAGCAUGCUUAACUUCUAUACCUACCAGAAGGGAUUCUUGCAGAUCUAGAGCAACUGGCCCAGGUGUCUUCUCCUUCCUCCCUUGCUUGGGGUGCUACAAGGAUACAGAAGCACCUUCCUCCAAUCCUGCACACUCUAUCAUCAAGACAUUCUCAGUGGUGCAGUAGCGACUGGGAUGGGGUGAAAAGUGAUUCUUGGAGACUGAGAAAAGUGCGAGGGAAGCAUCAACAGCUUGCAGCUGACAGGGGCGUGAGCUGGUGGCCGGCGAGGUGACGCAGGUGCUGCCAUUCGUUCUGAGAAGAGAGUAGCUGCUCCUCCCUUCUGCAGAAAACUGCGUUUGGACUGUUUGCACGGCCUGUGAUAGUGACUGCACUUUGGGGAAACGACCUGAGGAAACGCUGGAAAUACGGAUAAAAAUUUUAAGUAUGAACUGAGGCCCAACACCUGCUUCACAGAGAGGACUGUCUGGAAGCGCCUGCUGAGAGCCCGCGGGGGG
Long non-coding RNA from Talpa occidentalis (Iberian mole), 1658 nucleotides. RefSeq lists it as uncharacterized. The record is from RefSeq and is a predicted model, not a curated record. Lineage: Eukaryota; Metazoa; Chordata; Mammalia; Eulipotyphla; Talpidae. The transcript is spliced from 4 exons.